UAAUACGUAGGGUGCAAGCGUUAAUCGGAAUUACUGGGCGUAAAGCGUGCGCAGGCGGUUUUGUAAGACAGAGGUGAAAUCCCCGGGCUCAACCUGGGAACUGCCUUUGUGACUGCAAGGCUGGAGUGCGGCAGAGGGGGAUGGAAUUCCGCGUGUAGCAGUGAAAUGCGUAGAUAUGCGGAGGAACACCGAUGGCGAAGGCGAUCCCCUGGGCCUGCACUGACGCUCAUGCACGAAAGCGUGGGGAGCAAACAGGAUUAGAUACCCUGGUAGUCCACGCCCUAAACGAUGUCAACUGGUUGUUGGGUCUUCACUGACUCAGUAACGAAGCUAACGCGUGAAGUUGACCGCCUGGGGAGUACGGCCGCAAGGUUG
Molecule: ribosomal RNA, 375 nt
Filed under: uncultured beta proteobacterium
Lineage: Bacteria; Pseudomonadati; Pseudomonadota; Betaproteobacteria
Description: bacterial SSU rRNA
Rfam family: Bacterial small subunit ribosomal RNA
Source: RNAcentral